GAUGAUGAUGAAUGCUGUGGGCUCUGAGCAGUUGAUUGAUGGACAUGCAGCCCAGAAAGCUUCAUCCGAAUC
Small nucleolar RNA from Cannabis sativa, 72 nucleotides. Lineage: Eukaryota; Viridiplantae; Streptophyta; Magnoliopsida; Rosales; Cannabaceae. The record is from RefSeq and is a predicted model, not a curated record.